RNAcentral lists this ribosomal RNA (468 nucleotides) under uncultured bacterium. Its description in RNAcentral is "partial 16S ribosomal RNA". It matches the Rfam family "Bacterial small subunit ribosomal RNA", at positions 28 to 507 of the family's 1533-position model. The record is from RNAcentral.
GACGAACGCUGGCGGCGUGCUUAACACAUGCAAGUCGAACGGAAAGGCCCUGCUUUUGUGGGGUGCUCGAGUGGCGAACGGGUGAGUAACACGUGAGUAACCUGCCCUUGACUUUGGGAUAACUUCAGGAAACUGGGGCUAAUACCGGAUAGGAGCUCCUGCUGCAUGGUGGGGGUUGGAAAGUUUCGGCGGUUGGGGAUGGACUCGCGGCUUAUCAGCUUGUUGGUGGGGUAGUGGCUUACCAAGGCUUUGACGGGUAGCCGGCCUGAGAGGGUGACCGGCCACAUUGGGACUGAGAGACGGCCCAGACUCCUACGGGAGGCAGCAGUGGGGAAUAUUGCACAAUGGGCGGACGCCUGAGGCAGCAACGCCGCGUGCGGGAUGACGGCCUUCGGGUUGUAAACCGCUUUCGCCUGUGACGAAGCGUGAGUGACGGUAAUGGGUAAAGAAGCACCGGCUAACUACGUG